This 242-nucleotide long non-coding RNA is filed under the name Lathyrus oleraceus (garden pea). RNAcentral describes it as "Pisum sativum (pea) long non-coding RNA (PSAT_LNC038797)". Lineage: Eukaryota; Viridiplantae; Streptophyta; Magnoliopsida; Fabales; Fabaceae. The record is from RNAcentral.
AAACUUUCUCAAUGCCCCUAGUUUUAGCCUUUCAUUCCUCUAACUCUAUAUACUUUCCUGAUUUCCUCAUGACCGAAGCUUCUCACAAAAAAACUUUGUUGCACCUUCCUAGUUCGGGAAAGGCUUUGAAAAAAUGGUCUUUUGAAAAGAAAAAUACAGAAUUAACUAAAGAACAAGAAAAAGCAUAAACAUAAACACACAAGAAAGAAAAUAAAAAAAUAAAAUAAAAGCAAAGAAGUACC